CUCUAUGGCCGUACCACCCUGAAUGCACCCGAUCACGUCUGAUCUCAGAAGCUAAGCAGGGUUGGACGUGGUUAGUACUUAGAUGGGAGACCAAACAGCUGUUCUACAGAUA
Ribosomal RNA from Ochotona princeps (American pika), 112 nucleotides. The record is from Ensembl. NCBI's taxonomy places the organism in Eukaryota, Metazoa, Chordata, Mammalia, Lagomorpha, Ochotonidae.